UGGGGAAUUUUGGACAAUGGGCGAAAGCCUGAUCCAGCAAUGCCGCGUGUGUGAAGAAGGCCUUCGGGUUGUAAAGCACUUUUGUCCGGAAAGAAGUCCUUGGCUCUAAUACAGUCGGGGGGAUGACGGUACCGGAAGAAUAAGCACCGGCUAACUACGUGCCAGCAGCCGCGGUAAUACGUAGGGUGCAAGCGUUAAUCGGAAUUACUGGGCGUAAAGCGUGCGCAGGCGGUUUGCUAAGACCGAUGUGAAAUCCCCGGGCUCAACCUGGGAACUGCAUUGGUGACUGGCAGGCCAGAGUAUGGCAGAGGGGGGUAGAAUUCCACGUGUAGCAGUGAAAUGCGUAGAGAUGUGGAGGAAUACCGAUGGCGAAGGCAGCCCCCUGGGCCAAUACUGACGCUCAUGCACGAAAGCGUGGGGAGCAAACAGGAUUAGAUACCCUGGUAGUCCACGCCCUAAACGAUGUCAACUAGUUGUUGGGGAUUCAUUUCCUUAGUAACGUAGCUAACGCGUGAAGUUGACCGCCUGGGGGAGUACGGUCGCAAGAUUAAAACUCAAAUGAAUUGACGGGGU
This 573-nucleotide ribosomal RNA is filed under the name uncultured bacterium. RNAcentral's name for it is "partial 16S ribosomal RNA". It matches the Rfam family "Bacterial small subunit ribosomal RNA", at positions 355 to 919 of the family's 1533-position model. The record is from RNAcentral.